CCUACGGGAGGCAGCAGUAAGGAAUAUUGGUCAAUGGACGAAAGUCUGAACCAGCCAUGCCGCGUGAAGGAUUAAGGCCCUCUGGGUUGUAAACUUCUUUUAUCUGGGACGAAAAAAGGGUAUUCUUACUCACUUGACGGUACCAGAGGAAUAAGCACCGGCUAACUCCGUGCCAGCAGCCGCGGUAAUACGGAGGGUGCAAGCGUUAUCCGGAUUUACUGGGUUUAAAGGGUGCGUAGGUGGGUCUGUAAGUCAGUGGUGAAAUCUCCGAGCUUAACUCGGAAACUGCCAUUGAUACUAUAGGUCUUGAAUUAUCUGGAGGUAAGCGGAAUAUGUCAUGUAGCGGUGAAAUGCUUAGAUAUGACAUAGAACACCAAUUGCGAAGGCAGCUUACUACGGAUAUAUUGACACUGAGGCACGAAAGCGUGGGGAUCAAACAGGAUUAGAUACCCUGGUAGUCCACGCCCUAAACGAUGGAUACUCGACAUCAGCGAUACACUGUUGGUGUCUGAGCGAAAGCAUUAAGUAUCCCACCUGGGAAGUACGAUCGCAAGAUUGAAACUCAAAGGAAUUGACGGCUGAGACCGNGACGAGACGACGACGAGGGAGGAGG
Molecule: ribosomal RNA, 613 nt
Filed under: uncultured bacterium
Lineage: Bacteria
Description: bacterial SSU rRNA
Rfam family: Bacterial small subunit ribosomal RNA
Source: RNAcentral